UUUCGGGCGCCCGCUGGCGGCGUGCUUAACACAUGCAAGUCGAGCGAGAUUUUAAGAACUAGCUUGCUAGUUCUUAAAUGACAGCGGCGGACGGGUGAGUAACGCGUGGGCAACCUGCCCUGUGGAAAGGGAUAGCCUCGGGAAACCGGGAUUAAUACCUUAUAAUAUUAGCACUUCCCAUGAAGAGCUAAUCAAAGAUUUAUCGCCACAGGAUGAGCCCGCGUCCCAUUAGCUAGUUGGUGAGAUAACAGCUCACCAAGGCGACGAUGGGUAGCCGACCUGAGAGGGUGAUCGGCCACACUGGGACUGAGACACGGCCCAGACUCCUACGGGAGGCAGCAGUGGGGAAUAUUGCGCAAUGGGGGAAACCCUGACGCAGCAACGCCGCGUGAGUGAUGAAGGUUUUCGGAUCGUAAAACUCUGUUUUUGGGGAAGAAUAAUGACGGUACCCAAGGAGGAAGCCCCGGCUAACUACGUGCCAGCAGCCGCGGUAAUACGUAGGGGGCAAGCGUUGUCCGGAAUCAUUGGGCGUAAAGGGCGUGUAGGCGGUAUGAUAAGUCAGGUGUGAAAGUUUUGGGGCCUCAACCCCA
This 590-nucleotide ribosomal RNA is filed under the name uncultured bacterium. Its description in RNAcentral is "bacterial SSU rRNA". It matches the Rfam family "Bacterial small subunit ribosomal RNA", at positions 23 to 617 of the family's 1533-position model. The record is from RNAcentral.